UACAGAGGUCCCGAGCGUUGUUCGGAUUCAUUGGGCGUAAAGGGUGCGUAGGCGGUUUGCUAAGUUUGAUGUGAAAUCCCGGGGCUCAACCCCGGAAUUGCAUUGAAUACUGGUGAACUAGAGUACUGGAGAGGAAACUGGAAUUUACGGUGUAGCAGUGAAAUGCGUAGAGAUCGUAAGGAAGACCAGUGGCGAAGGCGAGUUUCUGGACAGUUACUGACGCUGAGGCACGAAGGCCAGGGGAGCAAACGGG
Molecule: ribosomal RNA, 253 nt
Filed under: uncultured bacterium
Lineage: Bacteria
Description: partial 16S ribosomal RNA
Rfam family: Bacterial small subunit ribosomal RNA
Source: RNAcentral